RNAcentral lists this long non-coding RNA (259 nucleotides) under Lupinus angustifolius (narrow-leaved blue lupine). RNAcentral describes it as "long non-coding RNA (LANG_LNC000100)". Lineage: Eukaryota; Viridiplantae; Streptophyta; Magnoliopsida; Fabales; Fabaceae. The record is from RNAcentral.
GCAUUCAAACCAAUUCAAAGAAGAUCUAGAGCUUCUAAGAAAACACCUAUCACUCUUCUCAAUACCAACACCAAUAAUUUUAAGGAAUUAGUUCAACAAUUCACUAGUUGUCCUAUAACAUCUUCCAUGUCAUCAUUUUCUAAGGGACCUAUUACCUUAAAUUUCCAACAAGGAAUCAACAAACAUGUUCAUCAUCACCAUAACACAACAACUACAACUUCAAUGUCACAACUUCCUAAGCAACAAUUUUUGCAAGAGC